AACGAACGCUGGCGGCAUGCCUAACACAUGCAAGUCGAACGAGACCUUCGGGUCUAGGGGCGCACGGGUUCGUAACGCGUGGGAACCUGCCCUUAUGUUCGGAAUAACUCCCCGAAAGGGGUGCUAAUACCGGAUAAUGUCUUCGGACCAAAGAUUUAUUGCCUCUGGAUGGGCCCGCGUUGGAUUAGCUAGUUGGUAGGGUAAAAGCCUACCAAGGCGACGAUCCAUAGCUGGUCUGAGAGGAUGAUCAGCCACACUGGGACUGAGACACGGCCCAGACUCCUACGGGAGGCAGCAGUGGGGAAUAUUGGACAAUGGGCGAAAGCCUGAUCCAGCAAUGCCGCGUGAGUGAUGAAGGCCUUAGGGUUGUAAAGCUCUUUUACCCGGGAUGAUAAUGACAGUACCGGGAGAAUAAGCUCCGGCUAACUCCGUG
Molecule: ribosomal RNA, 433 nt
Filed under: uncultured bacterium
Lineage: Bacteria
Description: partial 16S ribosomal RNA
Rfam family: Bacterial small subunit ribosomal RNA
Source: RNAcentral